GAGACCGAAAGCGGAAGUCACGGGGAGCUGGCGGCUGGGUUGGGCGGCGGAUCUGCAGAGUUUCGAGGUUCUGUCAAGUUCGCUGCCCGCCGCCCAACUUGAAGCCUCAUUUACCUUUCGGCUACCUGAUUUGGAUAAAUGGAGAAAAACCGGGGCCUCUAACUCAUAAUGCCCUCCCGCGUUCAAGAUGCCAGUUUUGGGGCGGAGAUUUCUAAAUUAAAGCCUACAUCCCGCGCGGGAAUAUCUGCUGGUAAUUUCUCGCCUGCCAGAAAACUCCUUUGAUCUCUGGCUGUGGAGACUCGGGACCCCUACCCAAGUAUGGGACACUGCCUCCGUUGGGGUUAUCUCAGAUCAAUGGAAUGGGAACAAGCUAUCCGGCCUGGGCGCCGUUCACGUCUCACAUCUGAGAUCGUAACACCGACUGUGCUUAGGACCUCAGCAAUAACUUUUUGCCGUCUCUGGCCCACUGACUCCUCUCAAAAUGUCCCCUGGUCCUUUUGCUAUUCACGUAUUUCUGUGGGCUUGAGAUUUGCUUAACUCCUAUAUUGGCAAAAGGCCACUUGAAAUCGCUAGCAGAUACUCGAUAACCUGAAAGGUAAGCCUGUAGUUCCUCCAUAAAAUUUCCAUGCUGCCCUUCUCUCCAGUAUAAUUCAGAUCUUCCUACCUUAGGGUCUUAGAACUAAAACCAAGAUAAGUCAACUUCAAUUCCACACCCCGAAACAAACCAGUGCAUCCUGUGAAUCUCCUACUAAAAUUUCUUUUCAGGCAAAUAAGCCCACAAUUACUAUACGUUCUAGCGAAGGGAACUCAGUCCCUAAAACCUUUCCCUGUGAUUGUAAAUUUAUUUCUCUAAUAGAAUCUGAACUUGAGAAAGUAAGGUCCCAACAGAGAGGUUUAUAUAGUGAUGAUUCAUUAAUUAGAAGGAUUUAAUUAGAGGAUUAGAGCCACCUUAAAAAGCCUCGUCCACCUUAACUCUUAGCAAUGCCAAUUCUUCAAGGUUUGAAAAGUCCCCCAGUCAUUCCCAAAUGACUGUUAAGAAUGAAAGGGACUGCUUUUCCAUUAUCAAUACUUUUGGGGAAAAAGGGCAAGAGGAAAGGGAAGUAAAACCAGUAUUUAUUGAGUACCUAUUUGCCAGAUACGGCUAGGUGCUCCCACAUCCCAUCUCUUAAUCCUCACAACAACCCUGUGAGGUAGGUAAUAAUGAUCCCCAUUUUUACAGGUGAGGAAGUAGGCUCAGAGAAAUUAAGCAGCUUUCCCAACUUCACACAGUGAGUAAGUACAUCUAUCUGACCCCAGAGUUACCCUUUUCUAUCAUGCCCCCGUAGGAUAUUGCCUGGGGACACCUGACAACAGAAAGUCUAAGGUUUUCAUCUAGGAUUGGGAGUUACCCCAACACCAGCAGGAUGCAGGAAAAAGUAACUGACCGGAUGGUUGCCUCAAUCUGUUGAUUCUUCAGUGAGUUAGCUCAGAUUUUGUCCAGGAACAGCUUUCAGAGCCAAAGAUUACGUAUUGAACUUUACCAAGGCAUCUGGUGACUAGAAAACUCCUGGAAGGUGGUCAUAGCAGAAAUUGUUGGGAAAGUUCUCAGCAUAAUAAAAGAGAAAUUUUUAUUUCCUUCAUGAUCCACUCCUACAGGGAAAAAUAAAUGGCAAAUGAACCCAUGUAUGUCAAACUCUGUAAUAAACACCAGUGAGAUCACAGUGUCAGGAAAUUUCAGCCUGAAUUAAAGAUACCCUUGCUCUUAAAACUUUCUUCUUUGAUGUAUGUGAAGGAAGGGCUGGAGGGCAAAGUCAAAGGAAAAGGCAAAAUAAAUUAACAAAAUGGCUGCCAGGCAAUGUUUAAUGCCCUCCCCUUCCUCCUCCCACCACGUACACUCGCCUUUCCUCCUUCCAUUGGGCUCACACUGCCACCUGCUGGCAAUUCCUUGGAUCUAAUAGCUGAUCAGUGGUGUUUGAAAGAAGAGUUUUUUCCCUGUCUAGGAAUGAUUGAUUCCUCUGUAUGCAUUUAUUUUAAUAGGGAGGAGAGGUGAACAUGUUUUUCAAUCACAAAGGACUCUCCUCCCUAUAUAUACUAUGUUUUUAGGGAACUUCCACAAUGUAAUAGGCACUAGACUGGUAUAAUAAUCUAGUGGUAGGAAGACAACCUAGAAAUUUUCCUAGAACAAAGGGGGAAAGCUGUUUGCCCAGUUUCAUUUAAUUUUUUUUCUUCAUUAGAGAGUUUCAUUUACAACCCCUAUGCUUUCCACAAUCUGCAGGAAGCUUCAAGGUAUGCAUCUUGCUGCCACGGGCUGAACUCUCAGAAGUUAGAGCCAUGGACAUAUUCUCCAAUAUAUUUCUCAAGCACAUUCUGUAGUGCUUUAUCAAAUCAAAGUGCUUUGUGAAAAUAUAAGGUAUCUCAUCAACUUAGACUAUGAACUCCUUAAAAGCAAUGACCACACGCCCUGUGUGGGUCCCAGGGACUAGUGGGUGUUCAACUAUUAUGCACUGAAUUGAACUAAAGGAGUCAAUGUUGUUAUCAGUAUAACCUUUUAUCAUAAAAAUUAUUUAUUAGCUGCUUAAAUGGGAGACUAUCCCACUCCCACCAGCCCAUUUCCCCUUUUGAUGCUCAGUGAGCCAGGAAUUUGUUCAAAUAGAGACCACACCACCCUCUGGCCCUGCCUUGAUCCGUUAGUGUUACCUGAUUCAAUUGAGGGAAGUAGGAUGGACAGGUGGUCCCAGAUGGGUGUCCUGUCCAGUUUGCAGUUAUUCCCUGUUUGUUGAAAAUACCACCACCAAUACCAACCAACACAGUUCCUACAGUCUCAAUCAAUGAACAGCCAAGACCAACUCCCGUGCCCUCUCUCCAACCCAGUGCUGCAGAUAGGAGAGAGAUUUAAGUCUUUGUCACUGAAGCUAAUUUUGAGAGCGAUGAAUGGGAGUAGGAAGGCAUUUAAUGGAUCAUGGAAACCCCACCCUUCCCAUGCCCAACCUUAAGUCUCUUGUACCCGAUUGUCCAGGGGACUGGAGGUGGGUCGCUGCCAUGAGGAGAGAGAUCAGGGAGGCCAGUCCUGGAAAGAAAAGAUUCGCAGUAUUAUUGAUCAGGCUGAUUACCUGGCCUCUCUGUUUCCAGCUACUUUACCAAUUCAAAUGCUAACCUCCACCCUCGCCCGUCUGACCCCCAGUCAUUCUAAUUCUUCCUCCUAAAAGAGAGGAAAGCCAUCCUGCCUUAUUCUUGUCUCUGCUAAGAUCAGGCUCUACCCUUGAUCUCCUGUGUGCAGGAGAGAGACAGAAAAAUAGAACAGAAGGGCUUUUCCUGAAGGGUGGGAGAGAGAGAGCUGCAGUCAGCUUUCCUAUCUUCUACUCCAUGUACCCUAAUUUCUAUUUUGCCUUGUUUCUGGCCAAACUCAGUAAAGGAAUACACCCUACUGGUCCUCUCAUUUUAAGGAAAUCUCAGGUAUAAAACCAGAAAAAUGAUCUAUUAACUCAAGUGGAAACACUUGGCUAUAAUUUAGUUCUUUUUAAACCUAGCAAGGAAAUGAGAAAACAUGGGUCAUUUUCUUACCUUGCUUGGGUGCAAUUACUGCCCUGGACAAUUACACUGAAAAAUAAAAUAUCCUAAAUGGCCCCUAGAAUAACUCCAAACCUGGCCUGCUGCCCUGUAUCCUCCAACUCCUACCCUUAGAGAAUUCCCUGCUUCUGGAAGCAUGGAAAUUUCACCAAUUGAGAGGUUUCACCUCACCUUUGUGACCCUUUUCUCUCGUCACCGUCUCACCAUACCCAGGUUCCCUCCCCUAGCAGUCAAAGAUCACAGCCAAGUCCAAGGCUUUUGCACACGUUCAUCCUGUUGGCUCUGUUCCUGACCCAGGAAACACUAAGCAAAAGCUGUGUGCAGAGACCCCAGCCUCAGCCCUAGCCAGCUGGGAAAAGGUGAUCCCACAAGGUGGUCCUUGCAAUCAUAACUGGCCCCAGCCCCAUAUCCCUCCGAGUGUCCAGCGGCCCAUCAUGACUCCAGCCGGGGUGAGGCGGCAGGACGGAGGUAGCUGUCUGACAUGAUGAUGUCGCUGGUGAGUUGCUGCUCCAGGAACUCAGAGGUCUCCUCAGCUAUCUGGCCUGGGAUUCGAAAGUCAACAGCAGGUGGCUCCUGCUUGGGGCUGGGUAGGGGUCGGGAAACCCAGGACUCAGAAGGACAGCCAGUCCCCUGAAGGAACUGCAGGAAGUUCUCCUCAAUGGAGCCCUCCCGGCUAGGCAGCCUCAGCUCCUCCUCUGGAGCUGGCUUGAAGAAGCAGACAAACUGCUUGCUGAGCUCCCCCCGGAUCUGCCGGUUGAGACAUCCAUAGAAGAAAGGGUUGGAAGUGAAGCAAAAGUAGCCAAUCCAGGUGACCACACUCUCCACCUGCCCAGUUGAAAUGGGCUGAGCACUCAGGGCAACAUAGAGGUGGAAAGAGAAGUAGGGCAACCAACAGAGCAGGAACUGUCCCCCCACAGCCAGGAGAACCACUGCUGCUUUCCCUCCCCCAAACGUCCGGUGUGGGGUGGUCUGGGGGGCCCCCGAGCUGGUGACCAUCGUGGAGCGGCUGCUGAGAGAUUCGGAGCGUUGCCGGGGUGUCUCCAUCCACGUGGGCAGCGGCCCGUGCUGCAUGGCAGCCACGCGGGCCACUCGGAACAUGCUGCAGUAGACCACAAGUAUGAGGAGCAGGGGCAACAGAAAGUAAAGGACAGCAAAGACCACCACAAAAAGCUGGCAGUAGGCACUGUGGCUCCACUGGAGUGAACAGCCUGGGGGGACACUGGGAGCUCCUUCCUCCCAGGAGACCCUUCCCAACACUGGCACAGAAGCCAUGGCCAAGGCCUUCACCCACACACCCACCAGCACAGAGGCCACCAGCCCCAGCGUCAUGCGCACCUCGUAGCGCAUGGGGUGGACUACGUAAUAGUAGCGCUCCACAUUGAUGGCUGACACCGAGAGGAUGGCCAGGCUGACAAAGCACACGCUCAGAAACAAGUAGAGGCGGCAGGCCACCUCCCCAAAGAGGGCGUGGUCAAAGAGGGCAGAGCUGGAGAGCAUGGCCAGGGGCAUGAGGGUCAGGGCAGCCAGCAGGUCCACCAGGCAGAGGUGGAAGACGAAGACAAAUUUUCGGAGGGCAGGCGUCUUGGCGAUCACGGCCAUCACAGCGGCAUUGCCAGCCACAGCAGUCAAGUCCAGCAGGAGCAUGAAGAAGAGGGCCA
Molecule: long non-coding RNA, 5204 nt
Filed under: Homo sapiens (human)
Lineage: Eukaryota; Metazoa; Chordata; Mammalia; Primates; Hominidae
Description: non-protein coding lnc-AMIGO1-2:4
Source: RNAcentral